Oncorhynchus nerka (sockeye salmon) is the source of this 1046-nucleotide long non-coding RNA. RefSeq lists it as uncharacterized. The record is from RefSeq and is a predicted model, not a curated record. NCBI's taxonomy places the organism in Eukaryota, Metazoa, Chordata, Actinopteri, Salmoniformes, Salmonidae. The transcript has 2 exons.
UGCUCCAUCUCACUGCAUUUGUGUUGAUACCGCAGAGACACUAUUGACACUUGGCGUCAAGGGUGAUAACCUGUGGUCAGGGACCGGGGUGGGGGAGGAGGCGUUAAGGGGAGGGAGUGCAGAAUGGAACAAUCCUCCAGACAGCUAGCAGAGCUCUCAACGAGUAUGCUCACCACACCAUUAGACGGGCCAAAAAUGGAACCCGACAAGGCAACCAAUCACAGCAAAGAUGGGUCCUACCCAGCGUGGGACUAUGAUGGAUAAUGAUAACCCAUAACCCUCUGGCUGCUCUAAAACCUGAGAGAGAUUAGCUAGGAGGAGGAGAGAGAUUACUACUACAGAGGCCCAUCCCUCCCCCGGGUUAUCGGUGGCCAGCCAGCUUAUACGGUGAGACUCCUCCUGAAGGUUCGACCACGGGGUAGGGGUUUUCAGUACCUGGUUCACUGGGAUGGUUAUGGCCCAUAGGAGAGGUGCUGGGUCCCUGCUCAAGACAUCUUGGACCCGGCCCUCAUUGCCGAUUUCCACAGCCGAAAACCCGGUCAGCCAGGUAUGUGCCCAGGUAGGACGCCAGGUGGCGUCUCUAGGAGGGUGGGUACUGUCACGCCCUGAUCUGUCUCACCUGUUCCUGUGAUUGUCUCAACCCCCUCCAAGUGUCACUUAUUUUCCCCAGUGUAUUUAUCCCUUUGUUUCCUGUCUCUCUUUGCCAGCUCGUCUUGUAUGUUAGUCAAGUCAACCAGCGUGUUUUUCCCGUUCUCCUUUUGCUAUUCUCUUUUUGGUAGUCUUCCCGGUUUUGACCCCUGCCUGACUCUGGACUACUUUCCUGCCUGCCUGAUCAUCCUGCCUGCCCUGACCUUGAUUCUGCCUGCCUGAUAAUCCUGCCUGCCCUGACCUUGAUUCUGCCUGCCUGAUCAUCCUGCCUGCCCUGACCUUGAUUCUGCCUGCCCUUUGGUACCUUUUGGACUCUGAACUGGUAUUGACCCUUUUCCCUGUCCACGAUCAUUCUCUUGCCUUAACCUAUUGGAUUAAUAAAUAUUGUAAGACUCCAA